UAAGCGGAGGAAAAGAAACUANCAGGAUUCCCCUAGUAACUGCGAGUGAAGCGGGAAAAGCUCAAAUUUAAAAUCUGGUGNUCUUUGGCCGUNCGAGUUGUAANUUUAGAGAAGCGUCUUNCGCGCUGGNCCGUGCACAAGUCUCCUGGAACGGAGCGUCGUAGAGGGUGAGAAUCCCGUCUUUGGCAUGGACACACCAGGGCUUUUNCGAUGCGCUCUCGAAGAGUCGAGUUGUUUGGGAAUGCAGCUCAAAAUGGGUGGUGAACUCCAUCUAAAGCUAAAUAUUGGCGAGAGACCGAUAGCGAACAAGUNCCGUGAGGGAAAGAUGAAAAGCACUUUGGAAAGAGAGUGAAACAGUACGUGAAAUUGUUGAAAGGGAAACGCUUGAAGUCAGUCGCGUCGUCCGAGACUCAGCCUCGCCUCGGCUUGGCGUACUUCUCGGCCCGACGGGUCAGCAUCAAUUUCGCCUCUCGGAUAAUGGCGAGGGAAAAGUGACACCUUUACGGUGUGUUAUAGUCUCUCGUCGCAUGCGAGGGUCGGGAUUGAGGAACUCAGCACGCGCCCUCGGGCGUCGGGGCUUUCGCCCACGAUACGUGCUUAGGAUGUUGGCGUAAU
Molecule: ribosomal RNA, 615 nt
Filed under: uncultured Russulaceae
Lineage: Eukaryota; Fungi; Basidiomycota; Agaricomycetes; Russulales; Russulaceae
Description: LSU rRNA
Rfam family: Eukaryotic large subunit ribosomal RNA
Source: RNAcentral